Molecule: ribosomal RNA, 448 nt
Filed under: Glaesserella parasuis
Lineage: Bacteria; Pseudomonadati; Pseudomonadota; Gammaproteobacteria; Pasteurellales; Pasteurellaceae
Description: partial 23S ribosomal RNA
Rfam family: Bacterial large subunit ribosomal RNA
Source: RNAcentral
AGUUAAGUGACUAAGCGUACACGGUGGAUGCCUAGGCAAUCAGAGGCGAAGAAGGACGUGCUAAUCUGCGAAAAGCUUGGAUGAGUUGAUAAGAAGCGUUUAAUCCAAGAUAUCCGAAUGGGGAAACCCGAUGGAUGAAGAAUCCAUCAUUUCAUUAUGAAUCCAUAGUAAUGAAAGGCAAACCGGGAGAACUGAAACAUCUAAGUACCCCGAGGAAAAGAAAUCAACCGAGAUUUUGUAAGUAGCGGCGAGCGAAAGCGAAAGAGCCAGUGAGUGAUAGCAGCAAAGACAGAAGAAUUGGCUGGGAAGCCAAGCGACACAGGGUGAUAGCCCCGUAUUCGAAGUUUUUGUUGUGGUACUAAGCUAACGAUAAGUAGGGCGGGACACGAGAAAUCCUGUUUGAAGAUGGGGGGACCAUCCUCCAAGGCUAAAUACUCCUGAUUGACCG